CCUGACUGCUAUCGGAUUGAUACUAAGCCAUGCGAGUCAUUGUAGCAAUACAAGGCAGACGGCUCAGUAACGCGUAGUCAAUCUACCCUAUGGACGGGAAUAACCUCGGGAAACUGAGAAUAAUGCCCGAUAGAACAUUAUGCCUGGAAUGGUUUAUGUUUCAAAUGAUUUAUCGCCAUAGGAUGGGACUGCGGCCUAUCAGUUUGUUGGUGAGGUAAUGGCCCACCAAGACUAUUACAGGUACGGGCUCUGAGAGGAGUAGCCCGGAGAUGGGUACUGAGACACGGACCCAGGCCCUAUGGGGCGCAGCAGGCGAGAAAACUUUGCAAUGUGCGAAAGCACGACAAGGUUAAUCCGAGUGGUUUCUGCUAAAGAAACCUUUUGUCAGUCCUAGAAACACUAACGAAUAAGGGGUGGGCAAGUUCUGGUGUCAGCCGCCGCGGUAAAACCAGCACCUCAAGUGGUCAGGAUGAUUAUUGGGCCUAAAGCAUCCGUAGCUCGUUUUGUAAGUUUUCGGUUAAAUCCAUGCGCUUAACGUAUGGGCUGCCGGGAAUACUGCAUAACUAGGAAGUGGGAGAGGUAGACGGUACUCGGGAGGAAGGGGUAAAAUCCUUUGAUCUCUUGAUGACCACCUGUGGCGAAGGCGGUCUACCAGAACACGUUCGACGGUGAGGGAUGAAAGCUGGGGGAGCAAACCGGAUUAGAUACCCGGGUAGUCCCAGCUGUAAACUAUGCAAACUCAGUGAUGCAUUGGCUUAUGGCCAAUGCAGUGCUGCAGGGAAGCCGUUAAGUUUGCCGCCUGGGAAGUACGUACGCAAGUAUGAAACUUAAAGGAAUUGGCGGGGGAGCACCACAAGGGGUGAAGCCUGCGGUUCAAUUGGAGUCAACGCC
Molecule: ribosomal RNA, 891 nt
Filed under: uncultured archaeon
Lineage: Archaea
Description: bacterial SSU rRNA
Rfam family: Archaeal small subunit ribosomal RNA
Source: RNAcentral